Molecule: long non-coding RNA, 152 nt
Organism: Thalassophryne amazonica
Lineage: Eukaryota; Metazoa; Chordata; Actinopteri; Batrachoidiformes; Batrachoididae
Exons: 3
Source: RefSeq, a predicted model, not a curated record
CAAACAAAGCAACACAGCCAAAAGAGAUUCAUUCAUUCAUUCAUCUUCUACCGCUUAGUCCAAUUAAGGGUCACGGGGGGCUGGAGCCUAUCCCAGCAGUCAUAGAGCGCGAGGCGGGGUACACCCAGGGCAGGACACUAGUCUGUUGCAGG